GACGAACGCUGGCGGCGUGCUUAACACAUGCAAGUCGAACGAUGAAGCCGGAGCUUGCUCUGGUGAAUUAGUGGCGAACGGGUGAGUAACACGUGAGUAACCUGCCCUUGACUCUGGGAUAACUGCGGGAAACUGUAGCUAAUACCGGAUACGACCCUCGGAGGCAUCUCCUGGGGGUGGAAAGAAUUUCGGUCAAGGAUGGACUCGCGGCCUAUCAGCUAGUUGGUGAGGUAAUGGCUCACCAAGGCGACGACGGGUAGCCGGCCUGGGAGGGUGACCGGCCACACUGGGACUGAGACACGGCCCAGACUCCUACGGGAGGCAGCAGUGGGGAAUAUUGCACAAUGGGCGCAAGCCUGAUGCAGCAACGCCGCGUGAGGGAUGACGGCCUUUGGGUUGUAAACCUCUUUUAGCAGGGAAGAAGCGAAAGUGACGGUACCUGCAGAAAAAGCACCGGCUAACUACGUGCCAGCCGCCGCCGUAA
Molecule: ribosomal RNA, 484 nt
Filed under: uncultured bacterium
Lineage: Bacteria
Description: partial 16S ribosomal RNA
Rfam family: Bacterial small subunit ribosomal RNA
Source: RNAcentral